CCUAUGGGGUCCAAAAAGGUAAAGCUUCAGUCUGCUACAGGUAAACUCAUUCCCAUGCCUUUGCACUCAGCUGUGGCGGCAUCCAUGCAGGGAUAGAGGAUCAGGCGGGCUGCAGCGGAGGAGUCCGCUCUUUACUUUAAGGCACUGACUUCCUACACUGAGCAGCCACCGGACGCUGGCUUUCUCCGGAAGGUGUUCACUAGUCCACAGAUGAACUGGGAGCUGAAGCCAAGAUGCAGAUUAGUGGAAAGAGUCUGUAGAAUCAAGGAACCCUUAAAACAAGGACCUGGAGGGUGCAGGGAUCCCUGCUGCCUUGGCUGCCUCUGCCUGGCCUUCAUGUAGUCUCACAUUUCACUACCUGGGAUGGUUCGAAUGCUUUGUUGCCAUCAUCACCGGGUGUGUGCAGGGGAGGACAUGAGCGCACACACAUGCAGCUGAGUUCCUCUUCUCCUCACAUCAGCUGGCAACGGAGCGGGAGGCUCCGCUCGGCGGGCUGGGACCCACAGCCCUAGGUGGCCCAGAGACCAGUGGAGGGGGAACACAACUUCUAGGUCACCAGAAUGCUGCGGCCUGGCGGGGCGGGCAGCUCCUUAUCCUGCAGAACUGGGAGCUUGGAAAGUUCUUACCUUCGGUUCAUGGGGCUCCACUGUCCUCGCCUUUUCCUAACGGGGUCUGUAACUAAGACGUGGAGCAUAUGGAGGACACCAGCAUUUAGAUGUCCAUUAUCUACUCACUGGGACAGCACUGGCUGCCCAUCCCACACAAUCAGGCAAAUGUCUGACUGAACAGAUGGAUCUCACAAAGCUGCCAGUGUGCCAGUGACCGCGGGCACCGCCAGGCAGGCAGGGGAGGACACGCAUGGGGCUGGGUGCUACAGGGGCAGCCAAGCUCUCCCCAGCCCACAGGGCAGUACUGGACACGUUGCAGGUCACCCUGAAACCCUGGGGAAUGGAGUUUCUCCUCCUCUGAAGGGUAAGUAACCCCCAAAGCACUGACUUCCCAAAAAUGGAGUCACUGUGUUUCAGAUCUGGGAGAACAUGAUGGCAAAAGGAAACCGCAGCCAGCCCUGCCCUGCCUCACACCGCAAGAGCCUGUCCCAUUAUCUCUGAAAUAACCGACACACAGUGCAACACACGGAAGGUUCCAGAAGAUGGCGACAAAGGCCACUCCAGUACCACUGCUCACGGUCAGACUGAGCCAGCCUAGGUGACAACCCGCUCAUCUCUGCAGUCAGCCCACAGGCGGGAUGGAGCCAGGUCAUUACAUUCUGACUGGCUGCAAUGAUCUGUUUCAAGAAAGCCUUCAGGGCAGUCUCCACAAGACAUUCAGAAACUCAAGACACCCCAGCCGAAAAGGGACACACCCUCAUCACGAUAGUUUUAGCUGAGGGUGGAAGGGCCAACCUGUGCCUUGGGCCUCAGCUCCCAGUACCACUGUGGAUGAGUGAGCGCCUUCCAGAGAAAGCAAAGCAUUUCUCACUCAGCACACUGACAGUCACACUUCACACUUCUAAUACCCAGAUGUGCACCGUAGAAUAGCAUUACAAAUUGCUAAACUGAAAUUUAACCUAAGUGUGUGAUUACAAGUCCCCAAAAAUUCCUGUCUUGCUGGGGAUUUACUUAAGAACAGAGCAUACUAUAGCAAUCCACCAGGCCAGCCCUUCCCAGGUGAGAUGUCCCAUGAGGUAGUCAGGAAUCAAACAUGGGAAGGGGACAGGGAAUCAUGGAGCAGGUGAUGGGGCAGCUGGCUGGUUCUUUCCACAUCCCAAAGCUGAGGAGGGAAGCCAGUGUGCCUCUUGGCCACAGACUGCCUCGAUUUCUCCUAUGACUGCAUAUACCUGGGCAUUUGAAUCACGUUCCUAAAAAGUGAACUGCGACCUGAAGUUCACAUGUGGAACUGACAGAGCACGAAAUGCUGAUGUAUACCUGGCCAUUUAAAUCAC
This is a long non-coding RNA of Sapajus apella (tufted capuchin), 1942 nucleotides long. RefSeq lists it as uncharacterized. The record is from RefSeq and is a predicted model, not a curated record. The transcript has 3 exons. Lineage: Eukaryota; Metazoa; Chordata; Mammalia; Primates; Cebidae.